GACGAACGCUGGCGGUGUGCUUAACACAUGCAAGUCGAACGGCAAGGCAGUGAUAUUGUGCGGUGAUCGAGUGGCGAACGGGUGAGUAACACGAGAGUAUCCUGCUCUAGUCUUUCGGAUAACUUAAGGAAACUGGGGCUAAUACCGUACCGCAGCUCCUGUUGCAUGGUAGGGGUUGGAACUUUUCGCCGGUCGGGGAUGGAUUCGCGGCUUAUGAGCUAGUUGGUGGGGUAGUGGCAUACCCAGCCUUUGACGGGUAGCCGGCCUGAGAGGGUGACCGGCCACAAGGGGACUGAGAUAGGGCCCAGACGGCUACGUGAGGCAGAAGUGGGAAGUAUUGCACAGUGGGCGGAAGCCUGAUACAGCAGCGCCGCGGUCGGGAUGACGGCCUUCGGGGUGUAAACCGCUUUCGCCUGUGACGAAGCGUUAGUGACGGUAAUGAGUAAAGAAGCACCGGCUAACUACGUG
This 468-nucleotide ribosomal RNA is filed under the name uncultured bacterium. Its description in RNAcentral is "partial 16S ribosomal RNA". It matches the Rfam family "Bacterial small subunit ribosomal RNA", at positions 28 to 507 of the family's 1533-position model. The record is from RNAcentral.